Molecule: ribosomal RNA, 468 nt
Filed under: uncultured bacterium
Lineage: Bacteria
Description: partial 16S ribosomal RNA
Rfam family: Bacterial small subunit ribosomal RNA
Source: RNAcentral
GACGAACGCUGGCGGCGUGCUUAACACAUGCAAGUCGAACGGAAAGGCCCUGCUUUUGUGGUGUGCUCGAGUGGCGAACGGGUGAGUAACACGUGAGUAACCUGCCCUUGACUUUGGGAUAACUUCAGGAAACUGGGGCUAAUACCCGAUAGGAGCUCCUGCUGCAUGGUGGGGGUUGGAAAGUUUCGGCGGUUGGGGAUGGACUCGCGGCUUAUCAGCUUGUUGGUGGGGUAGUGGCUUACCAAGGCUUUGACGGGUAGCCGGCCUGAGAGGGUGACCGGCCACAUUGGGACUGAGAUACGGCCCAGACUCCUACGGGAGGCAGAAGUGGGGAAUAUUGCACAAUGGGCGGGAGCCUGAUGCAGCAACGCAGGGUGCGGGAUGACGGCCUUCGGGUUGUAAACCGCUUUCGCCUGUGACGAAGCGUGAGUGACGGUAAUGGGUAAAGAAGCACCGGCUAACUACGUG